RNAcentral lists this long non-coding RNA (365 nucleotides) under Homo sapiens (human). RNAcentral's name for it is "HSALNT0092288". Lineage: Eukaryota; Metazoa; Chordata; Mammalia; Primates; Hominidae. The record is from RNAcentral.
UUUAUAUUUAAUAUUGUGCAAUAGAAGUGAUGUGGCUGAUGUCAAAUCUAAAUUGAGUUUCCAAGAAGAGUGUCUAUUCAUUGUGCGUUUGCUUCUAGCUGAAUUUUGAAGUAAGUUUUCUCUCUUUCAUAUUUGUACUUCAUUUUAAUGGUGAAGGCAAUUUAUAAAAAUAAUGCAUAAUCAAACCUAUCAAGGUAGAACAACCUUUAGCCCACUAAUUUAAAUUUCUUUGAUAACAAACAAACAAAAACACCCUGUCCUUCCAUGGCUAAACUACAAAGCAUCCUUUACUCAGAUUGUGAAAUAAUAAAAUUACAUAAUUUAUAUAUAUAAAUGUUAAAAAGCAUUUCUAAAUUGCUUCCAGG